Molecule: long non-coding RNA, 1839 nt
Organism: Gasterosteus aculeatus (three-spined stickleback)
Lineage: Eukaryota; Metazoa; Chordata; Actinopteri; Perciformes; Gasterosteidae
Source: Ensembl
UGUCGACUUACAGCGCAGGAAACGGGAUCCCUGGACCACCGGGUCCACCGGGACGUCCUGGACUUCCUGGGCCACAAGGAAUUAAAGGGGACACAGGAGCUCCUGGCUUUUCUGGCUCUUCAAGAGGCUCCAUCUCAGUCACCUCAGGGCCUCCCGGCCCGGCAGGUCUUCCGGGUCCUCCUGGCCCCACGGGCUCCUUUUCAACUUCUAGUGAGAUGCGUCUGUACAUCAGUGACUAUCUAAGUAAGAGUUUUUCUGAAACAAAUGCUCACAGGCUGUCAGAGGUGCAGAACAGAGACUGAACCAGUUUUAUAUGUUCUUUGCAGGUAGAAGCAGACAGUCUAGUAUCCCCGGACCUCCAGGUCCACCUGGACUUCCAGGAACCCCAGGAACCCCAGGAACCUUCUCAGGCUCUAUCGAUGACAUCGCCACUCGUGUCAUUGCAUAUCUACAACGUAAGCCUGUGCUUCUCCCCAGAAAUGACACUAAUAAAUGACAGUUGGAGGCAUGUUUACGGAUGGCGCGGAAUCGUAGCAGAUCGGUUGCCACCAAUAACUGAGUUCUCCUUUUUUAGGUUCUGGCUCAGGCUCCAGCAUUGGUCGUCAGGGUCUUCCAGGACCACCUGGUCCACCUGGACCCGGCUCUGGGUCCCUGACGGUCAGCGGUCUCAUUAUGAUGCUUCAGAGAGACGAUGUGAGGAGAUAUCUAUCCGGACCACCAGGGCCACAAGGACCACCGGGACCACCCGGCCAAUCAGGUGGCAUUUCAAGCAGUUACAAUAUCGAGGAGAUAGCCACAUACGUCUUUAAUACGAUGAGAGAAAGAGGGAUUGCAAGAGGUCCGCCCGGACCGCCCGGUCCUGCUGGGCCUGCUGGUGCCGGGGGCUCUGGCUUCACUACCGCUACGAUUGACUAUACCGCACUGAUGAGAAAUUCAGACUUCCGCUCUUGGAUUAAUUCGGCGGUACAACACGGCCCUCCUGGUUCGCCUGGUGUCCCGGGGCAACCUGGCCCCCCUGGUCCUCAGGGGCCAGCAGGAGUCUCCACUUCCACUGUGGUUGGGUCGGGAGGUCGUGGCUACAGUUUGGAGGAAAUUCAGCGUUACCUGCAGAGUUCUGGUUUCCGAGGUAUUGCCGGCCCUCCUGGUCCUCAGGGUCCACAGGGACCUCAGGGUCCACCAGGCAGUUACAGUGGACUGAUUUCCUAUGAUGGAAAUCGGGAGCGUCUUCGCGCCGAAGUUCAAGAGUACCUGACCAGUGAGCUCCAAACGUCCCACGCAGACAGAUUGAAGACGCGCGAGCGUGGACAAGUGCAGAAAUCACCGAUAAACUUUUAUCUUUCAGGUGACGUUGUCCGUCGUUCCAUCAUUGGACCCCCGGGUUCUCCAGGGCCGAGGGGUCAGAAGGGAGAACAAGGAGAGCCGGGCUACACCCAGGGCUACGCCCAGAGCCAGAGCUACGCCGCGAGUGACCCUAGAUACGGCUCUGAGCGCCGCAGUGCCGACAUCAGCAGGCUCGCUGAGAACCUGGAUUACUCCAGCGUCGCCAUAAAAGUCACAGACUACAUCAAGAAUCAAGGCCUGCUGCAGGAGUAUCUGGUUGAGGGCCCUUUGAGGGCGAAUGUGAGAGCAAUCCAAGGCCCUCCCGGUCCACCUGGCCCCGCCGGACCUCCCGGUCAGAGCCGCGUCAUCGGUUCCUAUGGCAACGUCACGGCUGACCUCAUGGCGUUCUUCAGAACGUACGGCACCAUCUCCGGACCUCCAGGGGGCCCUGGACCAAAGGGUGACAGAGGGUACCCGGGACCCAGAGGAGAAAAGGGUACACGUACACAGAGCAGAUGA